CCUUUAGAUGUUCUGGGCCGCACGCGUGCUACACUGAGUGGAUCAGCGGGUCAGGUUGCGCGAAAGUGUUUCCUAAUCUUGAAAUCCGCUCGUGAUGGGGAUUGACGGUUGCAAUUUUCCGUCAUGAACGAGGAAUACCUUGUAAGCGCGGGUCAUCAUCCCGCGCUGAAUACGUCCCUGCCCUUUGUACACACCGCCCGUCGCUCCUACCGAUUGAGUGGUCCGGUGAGGCUUUGGGAUCUGAGCGGAAAGAGCGUUUCGCUGUUUCUGCUCGGAAAACUCAGUCGAACCUUAUCAUUUAGAGGAAGGAGAAGUCGUAACA
Molecule: ribosomal RNA, 322 nt
Filed under: uncultured eukaryote
Lineage: Eukaryota
Description: partial 18S ribosomal RNA
Rfam family: Eukaryotic small subunit ribosomal RNA
Source: RNAcentral